GGAGAGGUGGCAGAGCGGUUGAAUGCACCUGAUUCGAAAUCAGACGUACCUGCGAGGGUACCGGGGGUUCGAAUCCCUCCCUCUCCG
RNAcentral lists this transfer RNA (87 nucleotides) under Bacteroidota bacterium. RNAcentral describes it as "Bacteroidetes bacterium (sediment metagenome) tRNA-Ser". It matches the Rfam family "tRNA". Rfam says of the family: Transfer RNA (tRNA) molecules are approximately 80 nucleotides in length. Their secondary structure includes four short double-helical elements and three loops (D, anti-codon, and T loops). The record is from RNAcentral. Lineage: Bacteria; Pseudomonadati; Bacteroidota. RNAcentral also lists the same sequence under 2 other names.